CUGGGUUUGACAUAUACCUGACCGCCAUGGAAACAUGGUUUCUCUUCGGAGCGGGUAUACAGGUGCUGCAUGGCUGUCGUCAGCUCGUGCCGUGAGGUGUUCGGUUAAGUCCGGCAACGAGCGCAACCCGUGUGAUUAGUUACCAGCACGUAAUGGUGGGGACUCUAGUCAGACUGCCCGUGUCAAGCGGGAGGAAGGCGCGGAUGACGUCAAGUCCGUAUGGCCCUUACAUCCAGGGCUGCACACGUGCUACAAUGGCCGGUAUAAUGGGCAGCGACACAGCGAUGUGUAGCUAAUCCUCAAAACCGGCCCCAGUUCGGAUUGGAGUCUGCAACUCGACUCCAUGAAGUCGGAAUCGCUAGUAAAGGCGUAUCAGCAAUGACGCCUUGAAUACGUUCCCG
Molecule: ribosomal RNA, 401 nt
Filed under: uncultured bacterium
Lineage: Bacteria
Description: bacterial SSU rRNA
Rfam family: Bacterial small subunit ribosomal RNA
Source: RNAcentral